RNAcentral lists this long non-coding RNA (805 nucleotides) under Capra hircus (goat). RNAcentral describes it as "lncRNA (ENSCHIG00000001004.1)". The record is from RNAcentral. Lineage: Eukaryota; Metazoa; Chordata; Mammalia; Artiodactyla; Bovidae.
GGGUUCCUUGAAGCCUCAGUGGUGACUGAGGAACUGAGAACAGGUGAGUCAGCCCAGGCAAGCAGCCCACUGCAGAGCCCAGAAAGAGACUUGUCAUCCACCCCAGAGUCCAAGCUCCCAGGACUUCUCAGAGUCACUCAUGAAGCCCCUCAACAGUCCUGAAAUGAAGGGUCUAGGGACAAAUCCAAGUCUCCCAGGAGGCAACCCCUCUCGCCUAUAAGGGGGGAUUGGCCCGGCUCAGCUGCACUGACAAAGGCUGAAGACAGCACGCAGCGGUGCGGGCAGCCCCCUGAAGCUCCAUGUGAACAUGACUCACAGCGGUUAUGAAUAUCAAACCUCCUUUGAUGUGUUCCCGGACAUGAGGAGCAGCCACAGCGGGGAGGAGGUGGACCCUGGAUGCCGGCUCUGCGGGGCGGUGUGCGGAGGGCCUGGACACGUCUGGCAGCAUCCUGAAGCUCCAGGAGAACUUGGAGCGGCUCCCGAGACUGGGUCAGUUACGACCAUCCAGAAGGAGACCAUGCCCAGCCAACUACAAGGUGAGCGCCCAGACUGGAUCAAGAAGAGAGGAUCAGUCACCUCAUGUCUGUUUCAGCUGAAAGCUUUUCCCCAUGUGGACAGUUCUCCCAUUUCUAGACAGGGUUCAAGAACAGGUUUGGUCCCUGGAAAUUUGAACAAAGACUUUACAGUUACAGAAGGAGGUGCAAAGGGUAAACAGGGAAGGAAUCUGUUCAUCUCCAUGCCUGCAUGCUUUUGGCUUUCUGAAAUGAGGCUGAUUUAUUUUGCAGCUGAGUUGGACUUUGACUGA